CAAUCUGUUUGGAGCAUAUCCUCAUUUAAUUAUGGUAGACUCACACUUGACUGCUCAUAAUCACUCACUAUUGUUUGAACAAUAACUUUUUUAGUUUUUAAUUGGAGU
Molecule: non-coding RNA, 108 nt
Organism: Populus trichocarpa (black cottonwood)
Lineage: Eukaryota; Viridiplantae; Streptophyta; Magnoliopsida; Malpighiales; Salicaceae
Source: Rfam